GAUGAAGAACGUAGCGAAAUGCGAUAAGUAAUGUGAAUUGCAGAAUUCAGUGAAUCAUCGAAUCUUUGAACGCACAUUGCGCCCCCUGGUAUUCCGGGGGGCAUGCCUGUCCGAGCGUCAUUACAACCCUCAAGCUCAGCUUGGUGUUGGGCCCCGCCGCCCCGGCGGGCCCUAAAGUCAGUGGCGGUGCCGUCCGGCUCCGAGCGUAGUAAUUCUUCUCGCUCUGGAGGUCCGGUCGUGUGCUCGCCAGCAACCCCCAAUUUUUUUCAGGUUGACCUCGGAUCAGGUAGGGAUACCCGCUGAACUUAAGCAUAUCAAUAAGCGGGAGGA
This 330-nucleotide unclassified non-coding RNA is filed under the name soil metagenome. RNAcentral's name for it is "partial contains 5.8S ribosomal RNA, internal transcribed spacer 2, and large subunit ribosomal RNA". The stretch from base 1 to 120 matches the Rfam family "5.8S ribosomal RNA", at positions 35 to 154 of the family's 154-position model. The record is from RNAcentral.